UGAGGUGUAGCUCAGAGGCAGAGCAACAGACUGUUAAUCUGUGGGUCGAGGUAUCGUAAUCCUCCACCUCAG
This 72-nucleotide transfer RNA is filed under the name Candidatus Onthovivens merdipullorum. RNAcentral's name for it is "tRNA-Asn". It matches the Rfam family "tRNA". Rfam says of the family: Transfer RNA (tRNA) molecules are approximately 80 nucleotides in length. The record is from RNAcentral. Lineage: Bacteria; Bacillati; Bacillota; Bacilli; Caryophanales.